CUACGGGGGGCUGCAGUGAGGAAUAUUGCACAAUGGAGGAAACUCUGAUGCAGCAACGCCGCGUGGAGGAUGACGCAUUUCGGUGUGUAAACUCCUUUUAUAUGUCAAGAAAAUGACGGUAGCAUAUGAAUAAGCUCCGGCUAACUCCGUGCCAGCAGCCGCGGUAAUACGGAGGGAGCAAGCGUUACUCGGAAUCACUGGGCGUAAAGGACGCGUAGGCGGGAUAGAAAGUCAGGUGUGAAAUCCUAUGGCUCAACCAUAGAACUGCACUUGAAACUUCUAACCUAGAGUAUGGGAGGGGAAGAUGGAAUUAGUGGUGUAGGGGCAACAUCCGUAGAUAUCACUAGGAAUACCAAAAGCGAAGGCGAUCUUCUGGAACAAUACUGACGCUAAGGCGUGAAAGCGUGGGGAGCAAACAGGAUUAGAUACCCCAGUAGUC
This 439-nucleotide ribosomal RNA is filed under the name uncultured bacterium. Its description in RNAcentral is "partial 16S ribosomal RNA". It matches the Rfam family "Bacterial small subunit ribosomal RNA", at positions 339 to 795 of the family's 1533-position model. The record is from RNAcentral.